GAUGCAGUAUCACCUGUUAAAAUUCAUGCCAGUUCUUCUUGGCUUAGUUAGAGACUAUAAAUUUUAAAAACAAUGUUCUCUGUGGUUGUUUUAAACUUUCUUCAUCAUGUUAUUAACUACAUUGCUUUUAGUUCACUUCUCUAUCAGCCAUUUAUUAGAUGUAGUGUAACCAAAAGAGCCACAUCCUAUUUUUCUUGUUCUUGCGGUUUCUUCUUUUCUAGGAUUAAACUGAUUGGAGUAGAAUAAUUCAGGUUGGCAUGGUUGCGAACUUGAGGGACUUUCUGCAAAUUAACCAAUUGUGAAGGAAAAGAGGAUAUUAUCAGUACUAAGAGACUCAAAAUCUUACAGGAUUUCAGUUCGUGGAAAACCUUACAGAACUCAUGCACUUGCAACUGGAAAGCACAUUGCUUGAAGGACCAUUUCCAAGCAGUUUUGGUGCUUUGACCAAAUUAGACGUUCCUGAACAUAUUGGCAAGUUUUCCAAGUUGCAAUACCUGUAAGUAUCCUUGUCAUUCAUUAUCUAUA
Molecule: long non-coding RNA, 525 nt
Organism: Argentina anserina (silverweed cinquefoil)
Lineage: Eukaryota; Viridiplantae; Streptophyta; Magnoliopsida; Rosales; Rosaceae
Exons: 3
Source: RefSeq, a predicted model, not a curated record